CCUACGGGUGGCAGCAGUGGGGAAUCUUCCGCAAUGGGCGAAAGCCUGACGGAGCAACGCCGCGUGAUCGAAUGAAGGCCUUCGGGUUGUAAACCUCUUUUGCCGGGGAGCAAGGGCCGGGACGCGUCCCGGCCCGGAGAGUACCCGGAGAAAAAGCAUCGGCUAACUCCGUGCCAGCAGCCGCGGUAAUACGGAGGAUGCGAGCGUUAUCCGGAUUUAUUGGGUUUAAAGGGUGCGUAGGCGGGCUUUUAAGUCAGCGGUAAAAAUUCGGGGCUCAACCCCGUCCGGCCGUUGAAACUGGGGGCCUUGAGUGGGCGAGAAGAAGGCGGAAUGCGUGGUGUAGCGGUGAAAUGCAUAGAUAUCACGCAGAACCCCGAUUGCGAAGGCAGCCUUCCGGCGCCCUACUGACGCUGAGGCACGAAAGUGCGGGGAUCGAACAGGAUUAGAUACCCGUGUAGUC
This 460-nucleotide ribosomal RNA is filed under the name uncultured bacterium. RNAcentral's name for it is "partial 16S ribosomal RNA". It matches the Rfam family "Bacterial small subunit ribosomal RNA", at positions 338 to 795 of the family's 1533-position model. The record is from RNAcentral.